This 222-nucleotide long non-coding RNA is filed under the name Oryza sativa Indica Group (long-grained rice). RNAcentral describes it as "lncRNA OsLiXu_10g0003290". Lineage: Eukaryota; Viridiplantae; Streptophyta; Magnoliopsida; Poales; Poaceae. RNAcentral also lists the same sequence under 1 other name. The record is from RNAcentral.
GCUAGUCUCCACUCCUCAUUUCCUCCUGCUUCCCACUUCCCAGGCUGGCGAUGGCGGCUGAGCAGUGACCACCGCAAGACUCAAGAACCACUCUCCCGGAGGCCGGAGCCUCACCUGGCCCUCUCUUCCUGCUGCCGGAGCCGCUUCAGGAGCUUGGAUUUCGCCGCAGCUGAGGCCCAAUUGGAUAACGGGGAUCAAAAGUGCAGAAUGGUGUCUGAAUAG